GGGCCCGCACAAGCGGUGGAGCAUGUGGUUUAAUUCGAUGAUACGCGAGGAACCUUACCAGGACUUAAAUGUAAGUUGCAUGAUUCAGAAAUGAAUCUUUCUUCGGACUACUUACAAGGUGCUGCAUGGUUGUCGUCAGCUCGUGCCGUGAGGUGUCAGGUUAAGUCCUAUAACGAGCGCAACCCCUAUCGUUAGUUGCCAUCAAGUAAAGUUGGGAACUCUAGCGAAACUGCCGGUGUAAACCGAGAGGAAGGUGGGGAUGACGUCAAAUCAUCACGGCCCUUACGUUCUGGGCUACACACGUGCUACAAUGGUCGGUACAGAAAGCAGCCACUAUGCGAAUAGGAGCUAAUCUUUAAAACCGAUCUCAGUUCGGAUCGCAGUCUGCAACUCGACUGCGUGAAGCUGGAAUCGCUAGUAAUCGGAUAUC
Molecule: ribosomal RNA, 430 nt
Filed under: uncultured bacterium
Lineage: Bacteria
Description: bacterial SSU rRNA
Rfam family: Bacterial small subunit ribosomal RNA
Source: RNAcentral